Molecule: ribosomal RNA, 274 nt
Filed under: uncultured bacterium
Lineage: Bacteria
Description: partial 16S ribosomal RNA
Rfam family: Bacterial small subunit ribosomal RNA
Source: RNAcentral
CUACGAGGGGUGCAAACAUUAUUCGGAAUCACUGGGCGUAAAGGGUGCGUAGACGGUAAAGUAAGUCAGUUAUGAAAUCUCCUAGCUUAACUAGGAACCUGUAGCUGAAACUGCAUUACUAGAGGAUGGAAGAGAGAAGUGGAAUUCUCGGAGUAGCGGUAAAAUGCGUAGAUCUCGAGAGGAACACCGAUGGCGAAGGCAGCUUCUUGGUCCAUUUCUGACGUUGAGGCACGAAAGCGUGGGGAGCAAACAGGAUUAGAUACCCGAGUAGUCC